This 351-nucleotide long non-coding RNA is filed under the name Brassica napus (rape). RNAcentral describes it as "long non-coding RNA (BNAP_LNC024717)". Lineage: Eukaryota; Viridiplantae; Streptophyta; Magnoliopsida; Brassicales; Brassicaceae. The record is from RNAcentral.
UGAUACGCCUUAAAAGGAUCACUCGACCGGAUUUGGAAAAGAUAUGAACUCCAAGAGGAGAUCUGAUGGAAUGAGGGGUCGCACAAAGGUUGCGGAGUGGCCUUUGAUAUUCUCGAACCAGAUUGUUGCCGGAUGUGACUCACCGGUCCAACAAAGAGGCAAUCUUGAACCGUUGCUUGAUAUGACUCACAAGACCAACGGACAAGGGCGUUUGCUUGGAGCUAACCACACCAAGAAAACUAGAAAAGUUCUAAGCAAAGAACAAAGAGUAAGACUCAAAAAGUUUAAAGAAAAUGGAAUGAUCUUAUUGAUAGAAGUUUUUACAUAUUUAUACUACAUGAGGAAUAGAAA